RNAcentral lists this long non-coding RNA (327 nucleotides) under Mytilus galloprovincialis (Mediterranean mussel). Lineage: Eukaryota; Metazoa; Mollusca; Bivalvia; Mytilida; Mytilidae. The record is from RNAcentral.
GCUGUAAGUCUGAUGCAUGUUCUGACGGUGAAGAUUGUUUUGACGACACCAAUGAAGAUAAUGAGAUCACUUUGUAAGUUUAUUCAUCAAUUUUCCAUACAUACGACGAUUAUGUUGGCAUUAGCUUUUAGAAAUCAAAGGGGUAGGCCCGGCAAGAACCCAUCUUGGUCCCAAAAUACAGCGUUUUUACAAAGUUGCUGAAAAUGUGAACUUUAAGCUACUCAUUGGAAAGUAGAAUACUUGUGUUACAUAGAUAUGGGACGUUUCCACUUUCAUACACUGGACAUGCAUCAGAUAAAAUGGAAGUGGCUGCACUCUUUAUAUUUG